Molecule: ribosomal RNA, 420 nt
Filed under: bacterium
Lineage: Bacteria
Description: partial 16S ribosomal RNA
Rfam family: Bacterial small subunit ribosomal RNA
Source: RNAcentral
UGGGGGAUAUUGCACAAUGGGCGAAAGCCUGAUGCAGCGACGCCGCGUGGGGGAUGAAGGCUUUCGGGUUGUAAACCUCUUUCGCUAUCGAACAAGGCCCGCUUAGGGUGGGUUGAGGGUAGGUGGAGAAGAAGCGCCGGCUAACUACGUGCCAGCAGCCGCGGUAAUACGUAGGGCGCGAGCGUUGUCCGGAAUUAUUGGGCGUAAAGGGCUUGUAGGCGGCUUGUUGCGCCUGCUGUGAAAACGCGGGGCUUAACUUCGCGCGUGCAGUGGGUACGGGCAGGCUUGAGUGUGGUAGGGGUGACUGGAAUUCCAGGUGUAGCGGUGGAAUGCGAAGAUAUCUGGAGGAACACCGAUGGCGAAGGCAGGUCACUGGGCCAUUACUGACGCUGAGGAGAGAAAGCAUGGGUAGCGAACAGG